GACGAACGCUGGCGGCGUGCCUAAUACAUGCAAGUAGAACGCACAGUUUAUACCGUAGCUUGCUACACCAUAGACUGUGAGUUGCGAACGGGUGAGUAACGCGUAGGUAACCUGCCUGGUAGCGGGGGAUAACUAUUGGAAACGAUAGCUAAUACCGCAUAAUAUUAAUUAUUGCAUGAUAAUUAAUUGAAAGGUGCAAUUGCACCACUACCAGAUGGACCUGCGUUGUAUUAGCUAGUAGGUGAGGUAACGGCUCACCUAGGCGACGAUACAUAGCCGACCUGAGAGGGUGAUCGGCCACACUGGGACUGCGACACGGCCCAGACUCCUACGGGGGGCAGCAGUAGGGAAUCUUCGGCAAUGGACGAAAGUCUGACCGAGCAACGCCGCGUGAGUGAAGAAGGUUUUCGGAUCGUAAAGCUCUGUUGUAAGAGAAGAACGGGUGUGAGAGUGGAAAGUUCACACUGUGACGGUAUCUUACCAGAAAGGGACGGCUAACUACGUG
RNAcentral lists this ribosomal RNA (505 nucleotides) under uncultured bacterium. RNAcentral describes it as "partial 16S ribosomal RNA". It matches the Rfam family "Bacterial small subunit ribosomal RNA", at positions 28 to 507 of the family's 1533-position model. The record is from RNAcentral.